Molecule: ribosomal RNA, 253 nt
Filed under: uncultured bacterium
Lineage: Bacteria
Description: partial 16S ribosomal RNA
Rfam family: Bacterial small subunit ribosomal RNA
Source: RNAcentral
UACGUAGGUGGCAAGCGUUGUCCGGAAUUAUUGGGCGUAAAGCGCGCGCAGGUGGUUCGUUAAGUCUGAUGUGAAAGCCCACGGCUCAACCGUGGAGGGUCAUUGGAAACUGGGGAACUUGAGUGCAGAAGAGGAAAGUGGAAUUCCAAGUGUAGCGGUGAAAUGCGUAGAGAUUUGGAGGAACACCAGUGGCGAAGGCGACUUUCUGGUCUGUAACUGACACUGAGGCGCGAAAGCGUGGGGAGCGAACAGG